GGGCGAGUCGGAUAGCUGGCAAUUCCGCCUGACUGUAAAUCAGGUGCCUUUUGGCUUCGUUGGUUCGAGUCCAACCUCGCCCACCA
This 86-nucleotide transfer RNA is filed under the name Ruminococcus sp. Its description in RNAcentral is "tRNA-Tyr". It matches the Rfam family "tRNA". Rfam says of the family: Transfer RNA (tRNA) molecules are approximately 80 nucleotides in length. Their secondary structure includes four short double-helical elements and three loops (D, anti-codon, and T loops). Further hydrogen bonds mediate the characteristic L-shaped molecular structure. tRNAs have two regions of fundamental functional importance: the anti-codon, which is responsible for specific mRNA codon recognition, and the 3' end, to which the tRNAs corresponding amino acid is attached (by aminoacyl-tRNA synthetases). tRNAs cope with the degeneracy of the genetic code in two manners: having more than one tRNA (with a specific anti-codon) for a particular amino acid; and 'wobble' base-pairing, i.e. permitting non-standard base-pairing at the 3rd anti-codon position. Lineage: Bacteria; Bacillati; Bacillota; Clostridia; Eubacteriales; Oscillospiraceae. The record is from RNAcentral.